This is a small nuclear RNA of Hyaena hyaena (striped hyena), 107 nucleotides long. NCBI's taxonomy places the organism in Eukaryota, Metazoa, Chordata, Mammalia, Carnivora, Hyaenidae. The record is from RefSeq and is a predicted model, not a curated record.
GUGCUCACUUUGGCAGCACACAUACCAAAAUUGAAACAAUACAGAAAGAUUAGCAUGGCUCCUGUGCAAGAAUGACACAGAAAAAAAUGCAAAAGAAAAAAAUUCCU